AUGAAUAUAGUACCGACGGCUGCGGAGAUUUUGAGUAGAGACCGUCUAUUUCUCAAAGGUGAGAUGAAAAAGAUCUCUGAGAAAUUGGAAGAAAGGACAGAAGGACCAGGCACUAUAUGGCCCAUGGGAGGGACUUUUGAUCCAAUAAUGUAUAGGGACAUGGCGGUAGUGAUAAGGGAUUACAUAGAUAACAGAAGUGGUAAAACGGCCUUAGAGAAGAAGGCCAGGGAAAAGUUAGUACUAGCUUUGCUCCUAGAGGAAGGAGAGAGAUCUCGAACGUUACAAAGAGUGGCGGGAGAAAUAAUAGCUAAGAACAAAAAGGCUCAACCAUUGCCUCUGAAGGUUGAGCCACCGCUAUACAAACCAGUGUCAGUCUAUCCAUUGUUAAAAGGCAUGGUAGCAAAUAAAGGGGAGGUCACACUAGAUGAGGAGGAUAAGCAAUGUAACACACAGGGAAGGAGGGGCGCACCCAUACACAUGGACUGUUAUGAGGGGAUUAGAAAUACAAUAGAAGAGUGUGACGAUUCUGAAACUAGUUCUAGUGAAAGCAAGGACGAGGAUAAGAAUAGUGGUGAUGAGCACGUGGGCGAAGAUGGGAACAAUGCUACUGAACAAAAUUACAAAGAACUUUCUUCUAAAAUUAAAAGGAGAGGAAAGAACACAAAGAAGAGAACGAAGAGUCAGAGGAGGCAGAAAAAAAGGAGAGAUAGUAAUUGGGGAGAGAGUUCCCGUGUGGGUCAAGCGUUGGGGGAGCCUAGCUGUAGUACAGCAUUACAAAGCCCCCUGGCACUCGAAACACAGGGGAAACUAAGGAGAUCACAUAGAGAGAGAAGAGCACCCGACACGUCAUCAGGAAAUUAUCCUAUUCUAAUCAAUGGACAGCAGGCAUUCUCUCCCCCGAUAGAACAGCCUCAGAGCCAACAGUCACCUAAUCCACCCAUUACACAUGUUCACAUCCAUAAUUAUGGGAACCCCACAAAUAUAAAUAGACAGAAUCAGAAUGAGGGCCAAGGUCAGUUUAGAAACAAUCAACAACAAGGAUUCAAAGGACAACGCAGAGGUCCUUUAAUAUGUUAUGGGUGUAACCAGGAAGGACAUAUUAAGAGAAAUUGUUCAAUGAACCCUUUCCCACCCCAGCAAGGACAGGGUAACGGCUAUCAGGGAAGGCAAGAACAAGGAGGUAGCUCCCAGCCAGGUCCUAUUAUGGGACAGGGAUACUAG
RNAcentral lists this long non-coding RNA (1221 nucleotides) under Gadus morhua (Atlantic cod). Its description in RNAcentral is "lncRNA (ENSGMOG00000029625.1)". The record is from RNAcentral. Lineage: Eukaryota; Metazoa; Chordata; Actinopteri; Gadiformes; Gadidae.